GGGUUGCUAACUCAACGGUAGAGUACUCGGCUUUUAUCCGACUAGUUCCGGGUUCGAGUCCCGGGCAACCCA
RNAcentral lists this transfer RNA (72 nucleotides) under Magnolia wilsonii. RNAcentral describes it as "tRNA-Lys". It matches the Rfam family "tRNA". From Rfam's summary of the family: Transfer RNA (tRNA) molecules are approximately 80 nucleotides in length. Their secondary structure includes four short double-helical elements and three loops (D, anti-codon, and T loops). RNAcentral also lists the same sequence under 3 other names. The record is from RNAcentral. Lineage: Eukaryota; Viridiplantae; Streptophyta; Magnoliopsida; Magnoliales; Magnoliaceae.